Molecule: non-coding RNA, 101 nt
Organism: Mycena leptocephala
Lineage: Eukaryota; Fungi; Basidiomycota; Agaricomycetes; Agaricales; Mycenaceae
Source: the annotation of a GenBank genome assembly
CACCCAAUAGCACAUGGUGUGCACCUGCCGACUCUUAGCAGUGACCGUGUGAAUCCUGUCAUAUAAUGCAGGUGGUCCCCGUUCGACUCGGGGUCGGGUGA